Molecule: small RNA, 74 nt
Filed under: Xanthomonas sp. 4461
Lineage: Bacteria; Pseudomonadati; Pseudomonadota; Gammaproteobacteria; Lysobacterales; Lysobacteraceae
Also listed under: 1 other name
Description: sRNA sX9
Rfam family: Xanthomonas sRNA sX9
Source: RNAcentral
CGGUGCGGCACGCACCCGGCGUUCUACGCACCGCCCACACUCACCUGACGACUGCUCGCCACGCCUUGUAAGCC